CCUACGGGAGGCAGCAGUGAGGAAUAUUGGACAAUGGGCGCAAGCCUGAUCCAGCCAUGCCGCGUGCAGGAUGACGGUCCUAUGGAUUGUAAACUGCUUUUAUACGAGAAGAAACACUACUUCGUGAAGUAGCUUGACGGUAUCGUAAGAAUAAGGAUCGGCUAACUCCGUGCCAGCAGCCGCGGUAAUACGGAGGAUCCAAGCGUUAUCCGGAAUCAUUGGGUUUAAAGGGUCCGUAGGCGGUUUAAUAAGUCAGUGGUGAAAGCCCAUCGCUCAACGGUGGAACGGCCAUUGAUACUGUUAGACUUGAAUUAUUAGGAAGUAACUAGAAUAUGUAGUGUAGCGGUGAAAUGCUUAGAGAUUACAUGGAAUACCAAUUGCGAAGGCAGGUUACUACUAAUGGAUUGACGCUGAUGGACGAAAGCGUGGGUAGCGAACAGGAUUAGAUACCCUGGUAGCCCACGCCGUAAACGAUGGAUACUAGCUGUUGGGAGCAAUCUCAGUGGCUAAGCGAAAGUGAUAAGUAUCCCACCUGGGGAGUACGUUCGCAAGAAUGAAACUCAAAGGAUUGACGG
RNAcentral lists this ribosomal RNA (575 nucleotides) under uncultured bacterium. RNAcentral describes it as "bacterial SSU rRNA". It matches the Rfam family "Bacterial small subunit ribosomal RNA", at positions 338 to 916 of the family's 1533-position model. The record is from RNAcentral.